GAUGAAGAACGUAGCGAAAUGCGAUACGUAGUGUGAAUUGCAGAAUCCAGUGAAUCAUCGAAUCUUUGAACGCACAUUGCGCCCGCGAGUAUUCUCGCGGGCAUGCCUGUCCGAGCGUCAUUUCAACCCUCAGGGCCCGCCUGCUUCGGCAGGCGCGGCGCUGGUGUUGGGGAUCGGCCUAACCGCCGUCCCCCAAAUACAGUGGCGGUCUCGCUGCAGCCUCCCCUGCGUAGUAGCAACACUCGCAUGCGGAGCGCGGCGCGGCCACGCCGUAAAACCCCCGACUUUCUGAACGUUGACCUCGGAUCAGGUAGGAAUACCCGCUGAACUUAAGCAUAUCAAUAAGCGGAGGA
RNAcentral lists this unclassified non-coding RNA (353 nucleotides) under soil metagenome. Its description in RNAcentral is "partial contains 5.8S ribosomal RNA, internal transcribed spacer 2, and large subunit ribosomal RNA". The stretch from base 1 to 120 matches the Rfam family "5.8S ribosomal RNA", at positions 35 to 154 of the family's 154-position model. The record is from RNAcentral.